CCUGGCAACUUGAAUUUGGUUCUGUCUACCCUGACUCUGGGAGCUGCUUAUUGCAGCCAACCUGCAGCUGCUCUGCUGAGUUCCAAGCUCAGUUGGCCCCUCUCCAAAAAUGCUGCCAGCCAAUCACCUUCUCCUUGGGGAUGUCUGAAGCUGAAUAACUCACCAGCCACUGCAGUCCGCUGUGUCCACUGCUCUGUUCCACAGUGCCGGAGAUGGAACCUAGGACCUUGUGCAACUGAGGUAAGUACUGUACCACCGAGCUACAUCCUCAACCUAAAUGCUGAAUUUGAGGCUGAACAUGCAGCAGUGAACAAAACAGGCAGGGACAGAUAGACAAUAACUAAGCACAUCAAUCCAUGAGAUAAUUCUGCUAAGGGAAUAAAGGAGACAAGUAUAACAGAAGAAAUAAAAGUUGUAACGAUGAACUGAAGGGCGGUUAUGGGGCCAAGUAGAGAAGAGAGUUCAGGGAAACUUACAUCUGAGCUGUAAUCUGACUGAGGGGACAGCAUUGCCAAAAGGUAGGUAAGAGGAAGGGGUCCCAGGCACAGCUGUUGUGAGGAAUAACUGAGACAAUGACUGAAAAGUGCUGAACUUGAUGGUAAGCAGCCACUCAGAAGCCAGCUGCUAUUCUUUUUUUGGUACUGGGGAUCGAACUCAGGACCAUGCACUUGCAUGGCAGGCCCUGGAACCACUGAGCUAAAUCCCUGGUCCCCAGCUGCUAUUCUUAUUACCUCAUCCACUUUACUCUAGCCUUUUUAUUCAAACAAAGCAAGGCUUGCCAACCCAUAGGUCAAAGGAAGAUAUAGAGAGAUACCAUAUUUCUCAAGAAAAGUUCAGGUUCUGGACUUAUUAGUAGAUUCCACAGGUCUGAAUUUUAGGCCUAUGCCAGUGGGGCACUAUCCCAACCUCACUUGUUGUCAACUCCACUUUUUCCUCAGGAAAGAUACCAGACAGAAAUAUUAACUCCUCAAACCCCUAAUCCCACUAUUAGAAAUAUAGACUUUGAAAAAGCUUCUUAAACUGGGUGAGGUGGUGCAGCAUGCCUAUAAUCCUAGGAUUUGGGAGGCUGAGGCAGGAAGAUCACCAGGAGUUUAAGGCCAGCCUGGACUACAUAGCAAGACUCAGUAUCAAUUAAAAAAAUAAAAUAAAUAAAGCCUCUUAAUUUGAUAUAACUGAUAUGCAUGUGUAUCUGAGGAAGUACUCAUUAAUUACAUCAGUUGUGUGUGUGUGUAUGUGUGUGUGUGUGUGUUUGUGUGUGUGUGUGGGUACUGGGGACUGAACCCAGGGCUUUCAUACUAACCUAUAUCCAUAACCCUUUAAAAAAUUUUUUUGAGGCCGGGGAUUUAGCUUGGUGCUGCUGCCUGCCUCAAAAGCGCAAGGUCUCGAGUUCAAUUCCCCUCCCAAAAAAAGAAUUUUUUUGAGACUAAAUCUGACUAAAUUGCUAAAUUACCUGGGCUGGGCUUAAACUUGCCAUCCUCCUGCCUUGCCCUCCCAGAGUGCUGGCAUCAUAGGCACGUGCCACCAGGCCAGGCUUCAUUAUUCCCAUCUUUUCGUCUUUGGAGUUGUAUGUCUUUGGUCAAACUGGUGUAAGGUACUACUCUGGAUUAGAUGGUGAGGAGAAAACUUCAGAAUGUAAACAGAAAGCUUCCAGUUACAUGAUUAACAUAAAACUCAUCUAAGGAUAUUAAAAAAUGCAUUAUAGACAUUUAAGGGUUCAAAACAUCAGCUGUGGCCUUAGGGACAUUCCAUAAACUAACAACUAUUACUAUUAUUACUGAGUCUCAUUUCUUGUUCCCCUUCCCCUUUUUUUCCCUUGUCUUCUGAUACUUUUGUUUUCUUUCCUUCUCUUCUGUCUUGCUAUGUAGUUCGGGGUGACUUUGAACUCACUUGUAGCCCAGGCUGGCCUCGAACUUGUGGCAAUCCUCCUGCCUCAGCCUCCUAAGUGCUGGGAUUACUGGUGUGUGGCACCAUGCUUAGGUGCCCUUCCCUUUUGAAAAAGAUCUCCCUACUU
This is a long non-coding RNA of Heterocephalus glaber (naked mole-rat), 2011 nucleotides long. The record is from Ensembl. Lineage: Eukaryota; Metazoa; Chordata; Mammalia; Rodentia; Bathyergidae.